RNAcentral lists this ribosomal RNA (1026 nucleotides) under Listeria monocytogenes. RNAcentral describes it as "partial 23S ribosomal RNA". It matches the Rfam family "Bacterial large subunit ribosomal RNA", at positions 798 to 1819 of the family's 2925-position model. Lineage: Bacteria; Bacillati; Bacillota; Bacilli; Caryophanales; Listeriaceae. The record is from RNAcentral.
GCGGGGAUGAGGUGUGGGUAGCGGAGAAAUUCCAAUCGAACUUGGAGAUAGCUGGUUCUCUCCGAAAUAGCUUUAGGGCUAGCCUCGAGGUAAAGAGUCAUGGAGGUAGAGCACUGUUUGGACUAGGGGCCCUUCUCGGGUUACCGAAUUCAGAUAAACUCCGAAUGCCAUGUACUUAUACUCGGGAGUCAGACUGCGAGUGAUAAGAUCCGUAGUCGAAAGGGAAACAGCCCAGACCACCAGUUAAGGUCCCCAAAUAUAUGUUAAGUGGAAAAGGAUGUGGGGUUGCUUAGACAACCAGGAUGUUGGCUUAGAAGCAGCCACCAUUGAAAGAGUGCGUAAUAGCUCACUGGUCGAGUGACCCCGCGCCGAAAAUGUACCGGGGCUAAACAUAUUACCGAAACUGUGGAUGAACCUCUUUAGAGGUUCGUGGUAGGAGAGCGUUCUAAGGGCGGUGAAGUCAGACCGGAAGGACUGGUGGAGCGCUUAGAAGUGAGAAUGCCGGUAUGAGUAGCGAAAGAAGGGUGAGAAUCCCUUCCACCGAAUAUCUAAGGUUUCCUGAGGAAGGCUCGUCCGCUCAGGGUUAGUCGGGACCUAAGCCGAGGCCGAUAGGCGUAGGCGAUGGACAACAGGUAGAGAUUCCUGUACCAGUGCUAAUUGUUUAACCGAUGGGGUGACACAGAAGGAUAGGGAAUCGCACGAAUGGAAAUGUGCGUCCAAGCAGUGAGUGUGAGAAGUAGGCAAAUCCGCUUCUCGCGAAGCAUGAGCUGUGAUGGGGAAGGAAAUUAAGUACGGAAGUUCCUGAUUUCACGCUGUCAAGAAAAGCCUCUAGGAAGAGUAGUACUGCCCGUACCGCAAACCGACACAGGUAGAUGAGGAGAGAAUCCUAAGGUGAGCGAGAGAACUCUCGUUAAGGAACUCGGCAAAAUGACCCCGUAACUUCGGGAGAAGGGGUGCUCUAUUAGGGUGCAAGCCCGAGAGAGCCGCAGUGAAUAGGCCCAGGCGACUGUUUAGCAAAAACACAGG